Molecule: ribosomal RNA, 253 nt
Filed under: uncultured bacterium
Lineage: Bacteria
Description: partial 16S ribosomal RNA
Rfam family: Bacterial small subunit ribosomal RNA
Source: RNAcentral
AACGUAGGUGGCGAGCGUUAUCCGGAAUUACUGGGCGUAAAGCGCGUUCAGGCGGUUUGGCAAGUCGGGCAUGAAAUCUCUCGGCUCAACCGGGAGAUGUUGUCCGAUACUGCUGGACUUGAGGGCAGUAGAGGGUGGUGGAAUUCCGGGUGUAGUGGUGAAAUGCGUAGAUAUCUGGAGGAACACCGGUGGCGAAGGCGGCAUCCUGGACCAACACUGACGCUGAUGAGCGAAAGCCAGGGGAGCAAACGGG